ACGAACGCUGGCGGCGUGCUUAACACAUGCCAGUCGAACGGAAAGGCCUCUUUCGGGGGGUACUCGAGUGGCGAACGGGUGAGUAACACGUGAGUAACCUGCCCUUGACUUUGGGAUAACUUCAGGAAACUGGGGCUAAUACCGGAUAGGAGCUCCUGCUGCAUGGUGGGGGUUGGAAAGUUUCGGCGGUUGGGGAUGGACUCGCGGCUUAUCAGCUUGUUGGUGGGGUAGUGGCUUACCAAGGCUUUGACGGGUAGCCGGCCUGAGAGGGUGAUCGGCCACAUUUGGACUGAGAUACGGCCCAGACUCCUACGGGAGGCAGCAGUGGGGAAUAUUGCACAAUGGGUGGAAGCCUGAUGCAGCAACGCCGUGUGCGGGAUGACGGCCUUCGGGUUGUAAACCGCUUUCGCUCAUGACGAAGCUUUGUGUGACGGUAGUGGGUAAAGAAGCACCGGCUAACUACGUG
RNAcentral lists this ribosomal RNA (466 nucleotides) under uncultured bacterium. RNAcentral's name for it is "partial 16S ribosomal RNA". It matches the Rfam family "Bacterial small subunit ribosomal RNA", at positions 29 to 507 of the family's 1533-position model. The record is from RNAcentral.